This 447-nucleotide ribosomal RNA is filed under the name uncultured bacterium. RNAcentral describes it as "bacterial SSU rRNA". It matches the Rfam family "Bacterial small subunit ribosomal RNA", at positions 354 to 796 of the family's 1533-position model. The record is from RNAcentral.
GUCGUGAAUUUUCCGCAAUGGGCGAAAGCCUGACGGAGCGACACCGCGUGCAGGAUGAAGGCCUUCGGGUUGUAAACUGCUGUCAGGUUCUAGGAACGAACGGGUGUGAACAGCACUCGGAAUGACUAAGACCAAAGGAAGCAGCGGCUAACUCUGUGCCAGCAGCCGCGGUAAUACAGAGGUUGCAAACGUUGUUCGGAAUUACUGGGCAUAAAGCGCACGUAGGUGGUCUGCUAAGUCGGGCGUGAAAUCCCUCGGCUCAACCGAGGAAUUGCGUUCGAUACUGGCAGGCUCGAGGUUCGGAGAGGUAACUGGAACUCCUGGUGGAGCGGUGAAAUGCGUAGAUAUCAGGAGGAACACCGGUGGCGAAAGCGAGUUACUGGCCGAAAUCUGACACUGAGGUGCGAAAGCUAGGGUAGCAAACGGGAUUAGAAACCCCAGUAGUCC